AAAUAAGAAGCAUAAUUAUGCAUUUAAUUUCGACUUAAAAGAUGAAAGUACCCUUCCUUAUUUA
Molecule: transfer RNA, 64 nt
Filed under: Phyllonorycter platani
Lineage: Eukaryota; Metazoa; Arthropoda; Insecta; Lepidoptera; Gracillariidae
Description: tRNA-Arg
Source: RNAcentral